Molecule: non-coding RNA, 29 nt
Filed under: Mus musculus (house mouse)
Lineage: Eukaryota; Metazoa; Chordata; Mammalia; Rodentia; Muridae
Source: RNAcentral
UGAUUUCAGACAACCUUCCAACCGGAAUC